This 406-nucleotide ribosomal RNA is filed under the name uncultured bacterium. Its description in RNAcentral is "partial 16S ribosomal RNA". It matches the Rfam family "Bacterial small subunit ribosomal RNA", at positions 30 to 526 of the family's 1533-position model. The record is from RNAcentral.
AUUGAACGCUGGCGGCAGGCUUAACACAUGCCAGUCGAACUAGUGGCGGACGGGUGAGUCAUGUCUGUGAAACUGCCUGAUGGAGGGGGAUAACUACUGGAAAUGGUAGUUAAUAUCGCAUACCAUCGGAUGUGCCUAGAUGGGAUUAGCUAGUAGGUGGGGUAAAGGCUCAUCUAGGCGACGAUCCCUAGCUGGUCUGAGAGGAUGACCAGCCACACUGGCACUGAGACACGGUCCAGACUCCUACGGUAGGCAGCAGUGGGGAAUAUUGCACAAUGGGCGCAAGCCUGAUGCAGCCAUGCCGCGUGUAUGAAGAAGGCCUUCGGGUUGUAAAGUACUUUCAGCGGGGGGGCGUUACCCGCAGAAGAAGAACCGGCUAACUCCGUGCCAGCAGCCGCGGUAAUUC